Molecule: long non-coding RNA, 1752 nt
Filed under: Daphnia pulex (common water flea)
Lineage: Eukaryota; Metazoa; Arthropoda; Branchiopoda; Diplostraca; Daphniidae
Description: uncharacterized LOC124196806, transcript variant X4
Source: RNAcentral
GUUGCUUCAUUAUCAAGCAGACCCAUCCCCAGCAACGUCUACCUAAAGAAGGAAAUAAAGGCCAGUUUGCAUUUCAAUCGAAGGUCAUGGAGAUCAUUACGAAAAGGUGUCAUACAGUGGAGUAGAGGUUGGGUGAGAAUGGGACGUUUUGCAUCAUUAUCAAGAAGUUAAUUAUGGCGUUGUGUUGCUGUGGGUGUCGUAUCGUUGAUGUCGACCACGAGAGAAAAUCUUUUAAAAGGGAAGAAAAAAGGCAACGGAAGUCAAUCGAGUGAGCAUCUCCGACCAUGCAGCAGCUGCAUUCUUCGUCGUAUUAUCAGGUCACAAUCACGGUCUGGUUAUCUAUGCUGUCGUGCUGCUAUUGGUUGUUGUAUCGUCGAUGGCUGGGUGGACGGCUCCGAUGUCUCCUAGAUAAGGCGGAUACCAAACCGCAACGCCGCCGCCUUACUACACAACAACAUACGCAACGACCAGUUACUACACCGAGGUUGCACAGUUGGGUUUACAGUUAAGCCACCAAGGAUCCAGAUUAUUACACCACAACUUGUGCUGCUCCCCGAGCUACACUACGAAAGCGCUAGAGUACUACACCGAGGCUCCCAAGUACUACACCAUCAUGGCAUCUGAGAUUACGCAACUACUUAUGCUGCCCCAACCAACGUCACCGAGGCUUCAGCUUAUUACACAACCAAAGCUGUCGAAUUCUACACUGGAACGCCCAAGUACGACAGAAAUCAGUCAAGUUAGCUUCUCCGACACACAACACGGCAGCCCUGAAGUUUCGAAUAAACUUCGCUUCAAACAGUGGAACGGCAAAGAGUGAAGAAUUCUACUGCAAUCGCGUGGAAUUGAAUAGCAAAGACAACACAUUCGUACGUGUAAACCGCGUCGUUAAAUUUGGCAUUGUCGGUCGGAAAGCCGAACUUGACGAUCAUUGGCCGUACCAUCACCAACGACAAGUGCGUUAUUGCCACAGGUAGUAAACGAAAAUCUUUUCCAAUCCCUGAGCGGUGCCCUUAAAGAUGUCCACGAGCACGUCACGCUGUCCCGCAACAUCGAUGGCGCUAACACAUGCCGAGUCCUCUAAAUGUUUAACCAAUGGACAACCGAGAAGGUGAAAGCGGAAAGUGUUAAUGUUUGUCCAAAGCUUAUGUGUAGGCUGCAAUUUUGGAAGACGACGAGGUUGCAUUGACCUUAAACGAUGGUCAAAAGAUUUAAACUGACCAUGUCGUCUCUGUUGUCGGUUAGGACGCAAACACGGGUUUGGCUGUCGCUUCUGGUUUGGAAAUAGAUUCCAAUUUUGGUGGUUAUCGAGUCAAUACCGAGCUCGAAGCACGAUCGACCAUCUGGCUGGCCGGAGAUGCUGCCUUCUUUUGUGGUAUUAAAUUGGGUCGUCGUCGUAGGGAAUAUCAUCACUUUGCUGUUGUAUCAGGGUGAUUGGCUGGAGAGAACAAUACUGGCAAGGAAACAUGGAUGAACAACUGCAGUGUACUCUUCCCAAGUGCAUUCUUCUUCGUAUUAUCAGUACGCAAUCGGUUGAUGAUGGUGUUGUGCUGUUGCCGUUUGUCGUAUCGUUGAAGGCUGGCUCGAUCACUGGUGUACCAAUGUCUCCUGUGUAUGGUGGAUACCAAGGCACCACACCGCUGCCAUACUACACAACGACAACAUUCGCAACAACCGGUUACUACACUGAGGCCCACAACUACUACAUCACCAAGGCUCCAGAAUAUUACACCGCAGCUAACGCUGCCCCGA